CACCCACCACAACUCGGUCAAUUCCAUAUUUUUGUACUCUCACACUUGCGGCAUGGUUCCAUAAAUAGCUUUGAUAACUGUGCACAUACAUCAUCCUCAAAGUUCUAGGUAUAGCUUUCAGGGCCAGCAAGUAGUUCCCAGGACAUUUCUUCAAACACUGAAGUAUGGCCCUUUCAGCAAUCAAGUGCCGAGGUAAUUGCCUUAGGGUCCCUUCAAUAUCAUUGCUUUCUCUAUAAUAUUCUCGUGCCUUCCUCACCACAUCUCUUUCCCCUUCUCUUGGAUCAAGGAUCAUGCUUGCAGCACUUUUCCACUCUCCUCGGAGCAAUGCAGCCCCAAUUAGAUGUGUUGGCACAGAACCACUACCAAAACGUUGUAAACCAAAGUAAUUGAUGAAGCCAUGCCUUCCUAAUGAAUCUGCAGAACCUUUGAUGGUAGUUUCAGAAUCUGCAAUGACUCCUCGUAAGGUGACU
This 470-nucleotide unclassified non-coding RNA is filed under the name Hevea brasiliensis (rubber tree). The record is from RNAcentral. Lineage: Eukaryota; Viridiplantae; Streptophyta; Magnoliopsida; Malpighiales; Euphorbiaceae.